UAGCCGUAAACGAUACUCGCUAGGUGUCGGCCACGGUGCGACCGUUGUCGGUGCCGUAGGGAAGCCGUGAAGCGAGCCACCUGGGAAGUACGGCCGCAAGGCUGAAACUUAAAGGAAUUGGCGGGGGAGCACCACAACGGGUGGAGCUUGCGGUUUAAUUGGAUUCAACGCCGGAAAUCUUACCGGGACCGACAGCAACAUGAAGGCCAAGCUGAAGACUUUGCCGGAUUAGCUGAGAGGAGGUGCAUGGCGUGUGACUGU
RNAcentral lists this ribosomal RNA (261 nucleotides) under uncultured archaeon. RNAcentral describes it as "partial 16S ribosomal RNA". It matches the Rfam family "Archaeal small subunit ribosomal RNA", at positions 748 to 1008 of the family's 1478-position model. The record is from RNAcentral.